UAGGGAAUCUUCCGCAAUGGACGAAAGUCUGACGGAGCAACGCCGCGUGAGUGAUGAAGGUUUUCGGAUCGUAAAGCUCUGUUGUUAGGGAAGAACAAGUACCGUUCGAAUAGGGCGGUACCUUGACGGUACCUAACCAGAAAGCCACGGCUAACUACGUGCCAGCAGCCGCGGUAAUACGUAGGUGGCAAGCGUUGUCCGGAAUUAUUGGGCGUAAAGGGCUCGCAGGCGGUUCCUUAAGUCUGAUGUGAAAGCCCCCGGCUCAACCGGGGAGGGUCAUUGGAAACUGGGGAACUUGAGUGCAGAAGAGGAGAGUGGAAUUCCACGUGUAGCGGUGAAAUGCGUAGAGAUGUGGAGGAACACCAGUGGCGAAGGCGACUCUCUGGUCUGUAACUGACGCUGAGGAGCGAAAGCGUGGGGAGCGAACAGGAUUAGAUACCCUGGUAGUCCACGCCGUAAACGAUGAGUGCUAAGUGUUAGGGGGUUUCCGCCCCUUAGUGCUGCAGCUAACGCAUUAAGCACUCCGCCUGGGGAGUACGGUCGCAAGACUGAAACUCAAAGGAAUUGACGGGGGCCCGCACAAGCGGUGGAGCAUGUGGUUUAAUUCGAAGCAACGCGAAGAACCUUACCAGGUCUUGACAUCCUCUGACAAUCCUAGAGAUAGGACGUCCCCUUCGGGGGCAGAGUGACAGGUGGUGCAUGGUUGUCGUCAGCUCGUGUCGUGAGAUGUUGGGUUAAGUCCCGCAACGAGCGCAACCCUUGAUCUUAGUUGCCAGCAUUCAGUUGGGCACUCUAAGGUGACUGCCGGUGACAAACCGG
Molecule: ribosomal RNA, 819 nt
Filed under: Bacillus subtilis
Lineage: Bacteria; Bacillati; Bacillota; Bacilli; Caryophanales; Bacillaceae
Description: bacterial SSU rRNA
Rfam family: Bacterial small subunit ribosomal RNA
Source: RNAcentral